UAUAGCUCAGUCAGUAGAGCAUAAGACUCUUAAUCUCAGCGUUGUGGGUUCAAGCCUCACCACAG
Molecule: transfer RNA, 65 nt
Filed under: Podarcis lilfordi (Lilford's wall lizard)
Lineage: Eukaryota; Metazoa; Chordata; Lepidosauria; Squamata; Lacertidae
Description: tRNA.Lys
Rfam family: tRNA (bases 3-60)
About the family: Transfer RNA (tRNA) molecules are approximately 80 nucleotides in length. Their secondary structure includes four short double-helical elements and three loops (D, anti-codon, and T loops). Further hydrogen bonds mediate the characteristic L-shaped molecular structure. tRNAs have two regions of fundamental functional importance: the anti-codon, which is responsible for specific mRNA codon recognition, and the 3' end, to which the tRNAs corresponding amino acid is attached (by aminoacyl-tRNA synthetases). tRNAs cope with the degeneracy of the genetic code in two manners: having more than one tRNA (with a specific anti-codon) for a particular amino acid; and 'wobble' base-pairing, i.e. permitting non-standard base-pairing at the 3rd anti-codon position.
Source: RNAcentral